GCUGGUGUAGCUCAGUUGGUUAGAGUAUGUGGCUUUUAAACCACAAGGUUGAAGGUUCAAAUCCUUCCUCCAGCA
Molecule: non-coding RNA, 75 nt
Organism: Thalictrum thalictroides
Lineage: Eukaryota; Viridiplantae; Streptophyta; Magnoliopsida; Ranunculales; Ranunculaceae
Source: the annotation of a GenBank genome assembly